AUGGAAUUAACGUUUCUUGGAGAUCAUUUGGAUACACAGGCCGCACAUGGGAGUUCAUAUUUCUGUCUCGCAGAGUGUCUCGAUGAGUUGUUGCUUAUUAGCGCUGUUGGGGACUGCCCAGAGGAGUUUCAUGUUUUCCGGUGGCAGUCAAGGGAGGGGAAGUGGACAAGGACUACUAGACUUGGUGACUGCACAUUGUUCUUGUCAUACUUUUACUUUGUAGGCCGUGUUGUUCCGACGAAAGGAUUGACAUGCUUUUCAGGUUAUUACUUUGCAAGUUGCCUUGGUCCAGAUCAUCCAGGAGUUCGAAGGGACUGCUUAUACUUCACAGAUGCCAAAAAAAAGUGGAUCGAGUAUUCCUUGGCCGAUGGAUCUUGUGAUGAAUUUGUUGCUGAGAACUUAGAGGGAGCUGCAAGGCCUGAUUCCGAUUUCAGGGCACCUGUUUGGGUCUUUCCGAGCAUGUGUUGA
Molecule: ribosomal RNA, 468 nt
Filed under: Triticum aestivum (bread wheat)
Lineage: Eukaryota; Viridiplantae; Streptophyta; Magnoliopsida; Poales; Poaceae
Description: partial small subunit ribosomal RNA
Source: RNAcentral